This 407-nucleotide ribosomal RNA is filed under the name uncultured bacterium. Its description in RNAcentral is "partial 16S ribosomal RNA". It matches the Rfam family "Bacterial small subunit ribosomal RNA", at positions 28 to 526 of the family's 1533-position model. The record is from RNAcentral.
GACGAACGCUGGCGGCGUGCCUAAUACAUGCAAGUCGAACGCAGUUGGGAACGGGGGAGUAACGUGUAGGUAAAUGGCUGGUAGCGGGGGGAUACUUACGGAAACGAUAGCUAAUACCGCAUACUACUAGAUGGACCUGCGUUGUAUUAGCUAGGUGGUGGGGUAACGGCCCACCAAGGCAACGAUACAUAGCCGACCUGGGAGGGGGAUCGGCCACAAUGGGACUGAGAAACGGCCCAGACUCCUACGGGAGGCAGCAGUAGGGAAUCUUCGGAAAUGGACGGAAGUCUGACCGAGCAACGCCGCGUUAGUGAAGAAGGUUUUCGGAUCGUAAAGCUCUGUUGUAAGAGAAGCGGUAUCUUACCAGAAAGGGACGGCUAACUACGUGCCAGCAGCCGCGGUAAUUC